GACGAACGCUGGCGGCGUGCUUAACACAUGCAAGUCGAGCGAGGCCCGCUCUUCGGGGGUGGUGCCCUAGCGGCGAACGGGUGAGUAACACGUGGGCAACCUGCCCCCGGCUUCGGGAUAACUCCAAGAAAUUGGUGCUAAUACCGGAUGUGACCGCUGACCGCAUGGUCUGGGUGGUGGAAAGAUUUAUCGGGCUGGGGGAUGGGGCCCGCGGCCUAUCAGCUUGUUGGUGGGGUGAUGGCCUACCAAGGCGACGACGGGUAGCCGGCCUGAGAGGGUGACCGGCCACACUGGGACUGAGACACGGCCCAGACUCCGUACGGGAGGCAGCAGGUGGGGAAUAUUGCGCAAUGGGCGGAAGCCUGACGCAGCGACGCCGC
RNAcentral lists this ribosomal RNA (380 nucleotides) under uncultured bacterium. RNAcentral's name for it is "bacterial SSU rRNA". It matches the Rfam family "Bacterial small subunit ribosomal RNA", at positions 28 to 400 of the family's 1533-position model. The record is from RNAcentral.